Danio aesculapii is the source of this 1083-nucleotide long non-coding RNA. RefSeq lists it as uncharacterized. NCBI's taxonomy places the organism in Eukaryota, Metazoa, Chordata, Actinopteri, Cypriniformes, Danionidae. The transcript is spliced from 2 exons. The record is from RefSeq and is a predicted model, not a curated record.
UUCAGGGUCGGUCUGUCUCUCGCAGCUGGUAUGCCAUGUUAGACUCGGGAACCAACUACCUGAACAUGUACAAUCUUAUGAGAGGCAGUGGUCUCUCUUCUUCUCCUGACUUCAUCGAAUCUACCAGUGACAGACUGUGCACUCAGUUCAGCUCCACCAGACAGAAACUGCCCCCAUAAACAGCCUCAACCAAUUUAACCCAAUGUUCUGUUAUCAGGGUUCCCACAGGUCAUGGAGUUCCUGCAAUGUAUUUCUGCUUUAUUUCAGACACCAAAAGUCAUGGGCUUUUAUACACUUAAAACAUUUAGCUUUUGUGUUGGCAGAAGAGGUGAUUUUAUUUACUUUGAGGCGUCUGUGCGACACUUUAAGUCUAAAAUAACAUUGGAAUGUUUGGAUAAUAAGACAUGACAUGAAUAGCAUUUUUCCACAAAGUGUUUAAUACAUCGCUUAUUUAUUACCUCUAUUAUACUGUAUUAAAUUCUAUUAAAUCGUGAGUUUACUUGCUGUUAAUUCUGUCACAGGCGCACACAGGAGGUUAUUUUCUGAGAACGAGCCCAAAUGGAAAUACAAUGCAAAUAUAUGAGCUGCUUCAGUUCAGCUGUUGCCUCUAAAUCCUGCAUCAUUUGAGCUUUGAGUCAACAAGACACUAAUCCUCAUUGAUUUCAUUCGGUUCAAAUGUUACUCAAUGCAGAAAUACUGAAACGCCUCAUUCACAAAGCAUUUAGUCUCUGGAAGAACUGAACAACACUGACAUCAGGAACUGAACUGGAGACGUUUGAUUAUUGAUCCACUGUGAAAUGUUUGACAGACUGAUCAGAAAUGCUUUGUGUUGUGUAGACGGAGGAUUUUCUCUAUUGGACACUUGCUAGAGUCUACUUUGUCUUCAUUAUUUUAAUGUCUUCUCAUUAUUUGUGAGUUGCUUUGGCUAAAGAGUUUGCUGAAGGACUAAAUGUAAACGUCCAUGUAAAUGCUGUAGUUCUCUUCAGAUGUCCAUUGAGUUCCUGUCUGAGGUCAACAUCUGUGGAUUUAGUGAGUGUUUGCAUUAAACGUUUGCAUUCUGCUUGAUUAUUAUUUGGCAUAUGA